GAAUGAGAGAGAGAGAGAGAGAGAGAGAGAGAGAGAGAGAGAGAGAGACGGACAGAAAGACAGACCUUGUUGGAGGGUUUGGGAGAGGCCAACGCAGGUGGGAUAUUUGGAUUUGGAUUUCUGUGUGGAUGAGUAAUAGAGGCAACCCUUGCAUGACUUUCCCUUCGCUGAGCCAUUGCUGAGAUUAGGGUUAGGGUUUGGAAUUUUGAUACCUCCUCCAUCUGCGUCUUCGCCUUCCUUAUCCAUCUCUCUAUAAGAAUUAAAGAUUUAUUAGAAUUUUAGAUUAUUAUCUCUCUCUCUCUCUCUCUCUCUCUCUCUCUCUCUCUCUCUGACUCAAUGG
This 340-nucleotide microRNA precursor is filed under the name Prunus dulcis (almond). RNAcentral's name for it is "sRNA ncRNA". The record is from RNAcentral. Lineage: Eukaryota; Viridiplantae; Streptophyta; Magnoliopsida; Rosales; Rosaceae.